This 460-nucleotide ribosomal RNA is filed under the name uncultured bacterium. RNAcentral's name for it is "partial 16S ribosomal RNA". It matches the Rfam family "Bacterial small subunit ribosomal RNA", at positions 338 to 795 of the family's 1533-position model. The record is from RNAcentral.
CCUACGGGAGGCAGCAGUGAGGAAUAUUGGUCAAUGGCCGGAAGGCUGAACCAGCCAUGCCGCGUGAAGGUCAGUGCCCUAUGGGCGUUAAACUUCUUUUGUGCGGGAGCAAUAAUGGUCACGUGUGGCCAGACGAGAGUACCGUACGAAUAAGCAUCGGCUAACUCCGUGCCAGCAGCCGCGGUAAUACGGGGGAUGCAAGCGUUAUCCGGGUUUAUUGGGUUUAAAGGGUGCGUAGGCUGUGAGGUAAGUCAGCGGUGAAAUGCCCCCGCUCAACGGGGUGAAGUGCCAUUGAUACUGCCUGGCUGGAAUGCGGAUGCCGUGGGAGGAAUGUGUGGUGUAGCGGUGAAAUGCAUAGAUAUCACACAGAACACCGAUUGCGAAGGCAUCUCACGAAGCCGCGAUUGACGCUGAUGCACGAAAGCGUGGGUAUCAAACAGGAUUAGAUACCCCAGUAGUC